CGGGCGGCCGUGACCCUGCUGGAGUGCGGGGGGGACCUCCAGCCCCCCGGGGGUUUCCUGCGCCUCCUCUGCCGAGGGUCCGGGUUCAGUUUUGGGAGCUACGAUAUGGACUGGGUGCGCCAGAGACCCGGGCAGGGUCUGGAGUGGCUCGCAGGGAUCAACACUGGUGGCAGCGCCUGGUACGCGCCGUCGGUCAAGGGUCGGUUCACGAUCUCCAGGGACAACGGGCAGAGCUCGGUGACGCUGACCAUGAACAACCUCAAGGAUGAGGAUUCCGGAUCCUAUUUCUGCGGGAAAUCUGCCUAUAACAAU
Non-coding RNA from Melozone crissalis (California towhee), 312 nucleotides. Lineage: Eukaryota; Metazoa; Chordata; Aves; Passeriformes; Passerellidae. The record is from the annotation of a RefSeq genome assembly.